Molecule: ribosomal RNA, 398 nt
Filed under: uncultured bacterium
Lineage: Bacteria
Description: partial 16S ribosomal RNA
Rfam family: Bacterial small subunit ribosomal RNA
Source: RNAcentral
AUACGUAGGGUGCGAGCGUUGUCCGGAAUUACUGGGCGUAAAGAGCUCGUAGGUGGUUUGUCGCGUCGUCUGUGAAAUUCCGGGGCUUAACUCCGGGCGUGCAGGCGAUACGGGCAUAACUUGAGUACUGUAGGGGAGACUGGAAUUCCUGGUGUAGCGGUGAAAUGCGCAGAUAUCAGGAGGAACACCGGUGGCGAAGGCGGGUCUCUGGUCAGUAACGGACGCUGAGGAGCGAAAGCAUGGGUAGCGAACAGGAUUAGAUACCCUGGUAGUCCAUGCCGUAAACGGUGGGCGCUAGGUGUAGGGGUCUUCCACGACUUCUGUGCCGUAGCUAACGCAUUAAGCGCCCCGCCUGGGGAGUACGGCCGCAAGGCUAAAACUCAAAUGAAUUGACGGGG